Molecule: ribosomal RNA, 166 nt
Filed under: uncultured beta proteobacterium
Lineage: Bacteria; Pseudomonadati; Pseudomonadota; Betaproteobacteria
Description: partial 16S ribosomal RNA
Rfam family: Bacterial small subunit ribosomal RNA
Source: RNAcentral
UAUGAUGGGCGCACCCUGAUCCAGCCAUUCCGCGUGAGUGAAGAAGGCCUUCGGGUUGUAAAGCUCUUUCACAUGGGAAGAAACGAUUGUAGCGAAUAACUCGUGAUAAUGACGGUACCUUGAUAAGAAGCACCGGCUAACUACGUGCCAGCAGCCGCGGUAAUGA